This is a long non-coding RNA of Vicia villosa (hairy vetch), 1415 nucleotides long. RefSeq lists it as uncharacterized. The transcript has 6 exons. Lineage: Eukaryota; Viridiplantae; Streptophyta; Magnoliopsida; Fabales; Fabaceae. The record is from RefSeq and is a predicted model, not a curated record.
AUUGACGCAUCUAAACCUGCAACACACAAAACCCAUCAUCCUUCUGCAACACAUCGACAAAACCUUAUCCUUCAAGCAGAUUCAACAGCGGCGCAAUUCCCCCAAUUCAUCUCAAAUCCUUCGUCGGUUUUGAUUUCGAUUCCUCUCAGACCCAUCAUCAACUUUGAUUCUUCUUAAACCCUAAUUUCGUAUUCCCCCCAAUUUCAUCUUCCCCCAAUUUCUUCUUCCCCCAAUUUCUUGAUGAAACCAUUUAGCUAGCAAUUCAACUCAACAUUUUGGUGCUACAAUCGCAAUUCAACUCAACAUUUUGGUGCUACAAUCGCAAUUCAACUCAACGUUUCGAUGCUACAAUCUCAAUUCAUCUCAGCAUCGCAACUCAACGUUUUGUAUUCUCAUAAUUGUUGUGUCUUCUGUUGGAUAUUCUCUCUUUAGCUUUUCAAGAUUUUCUCUUCGGCGACUGUCGAUCUAUUUUUUGCGUUUUCUACUUCAAAGGUGGAAUCAAGGUUUUCGGUUGUGGCUUCAGGUGUAAAUCAUCAAGUUUCAUCAAGAGAGCUUCAACAUACAUCAUUGGAGAAUAUCUGAUUUGAAGGGGAACGAAACCAUGUCAUUUCCUGAUUUGAAAGGUUUGAAAGGCAUGACAAGACUGGAAUUGCAAAGUUGUUUAAUUGCAGGUCCUAUUCCAGAUUACAUUAGUGAAAUGCGGAAAUUAAGAGAACUGUAAGUUGGAUCAAUAGUACAUGCUGGCUAUAAAUUCUUCAAAUUUCUUUAUAUUUACAUGCAAACCAAUAAAUACAAUGUCAUCUCGUGUUAUCUUCAUAAAGUUACAAUGACAUAAGCUAUUGAAGCUUUCAGUGACAUAAAUGAGUUGUACAUAUUAACGAUGGAUGCAGGUUUCUGACAAACAACUUUCUGAGCGGAACAACUCCAGCAUGGAUGCUGAGCAGCAAUCAGCAUAUGUCAGCACAUUUUCUUGAUUUUUUACCUCUAAUUGCAUACGGUUUACUCACAUGUUGGAAUUUUGGUGUUACACAAGCACACCUUUUAUUUCUGCUCUUCAACAUAGGUCCAGACAAUGCCUCGAUGCAAUUGAUCAAAUGGGUGCAGCAGUCCAGGUUUAAAUUGAUCAAAUGGGUGCAGCAGUCCAACCUUACGGUGCUUAUGGUAAGGCUGAACUAACUUCAUACUAAUAGAGCAAUUAGAGCAGCUCACUGUCCGACUUCAAUUCAGAAAAUUCAACAUCAGGAAUGAGGCCACCAACUCUUAACAUUUUUCCUUCUGAGCCUAUGCAUGUAGAGCCAUCAUCUUCCAACUCAAAUGUGCUAACAUGGAGUUACUUUCUCCGGAAACAAGUGGAUCAAGGAAAACCAAUCUACCAAAACAAGUCUUCUCUGGCUCUGAACCAUCCAAAACUGUCA